This 358-nucleotide long non-coding RNA is filed under the name Lactuca sativa (garden lettuce). RNAcentral describes it as "long non-coding RNA (LSAT_LNC006366)". The record is from RNAcentral. Lineage: Eukaryota; Viridiplantae; Streptophyta; Magnoliopsida; Asterales; Asteraceae.
AAUUUUUUACCUUGUCGAUAUAACUAACUUCAUUAGCUUUGUUGUUAUUACUCUUGAUUUUUUUAUUGUUGUCAUCAUCAUCUUCAUCAGAUGAAUCGGAUUCAUUGUAUGUAUGUAGGAAUUAAGGGCACAAAAGCAUAAACUUCAAAAUCAUGUGAUUUAUAUAAUUUAUUAAUUAUUAAUUAUAAAUAAAUAAAAUGAAAUGAAUUUUUUAAAGGAUAUUGAGCAUCGAAUUUUGCACGAAGAGCAAGUUUUUUGAGCCUUCGUUCUUCAGCAACUGAGUCAGGCUCUGUUUUAUCACCUUCAUUCUUCUCACCUGUUUCCAAGUCUUCAAACUCACCAAACACAGGGGCAUCAU